CAAUAGAGGCGCGGAGGACAGGGUACUGUGUUUUUGGGAUCAGACCCCCGGGAAGAGCAUGGGAAGGGGUUCUCCGCCGAAGGGAUCGGACGAGUCUGAGCGGUCGGUUCCUGGCAGCGCGGUGUAAGCGGCGCUGCUGUCAUGUAGUGAUACAUGGAGCGCUAUUGGU
This 169-nucleotide non-coding RNA is filed under the name pig gut metagenome. RNAcentral describes it as "Lysine riboswitch". It matches the Rfam family "Lysine riboswitch aptamer". Rfam says of the family: Riboswitches are metabolite binding domains within certain messenger RNAs that serve as precision sensors for their corresponding targets. Allosteric rearrangement of mRNA structure is mediated by ligand binding, and this results in modulation of gene expression. The record is from RNAcentral.